CUGCAGCCAGUUAAGUUGAUCGAGCUCUUUUCCUCAUGGAGGCUUGGUGUGCAAUGACUGCAAACAGCAGGUUCCUUGGUAGUGUACGCAGCCUGUUUCUUGUAUGGGUUGCCUCUAAGGGUCCUUGGAGAUAGCC
Chlorocebus sabaeus (green monkey) is the source of this 136-nucleotide small nucleolar RNA. It matches the Rfam family "Small nucleolar RNA SNORA70". Rfam says of the family: snoRNA U70 seems to be exclusive to mammals and is a member of the H/ACA class of snoRNA which contain H (ANANNA) and ACA box motifs. NCBI's taxonomy places the organism in Eukaryota, Metazoa, Chordata, Mammalia, Primates, Cercopithecidae. The record is from Rfam.